UUGUCUCAAAGAUUAAGCCAUGCAUGUCUCAGUACAAGCCACAUUAAGGUGAAACCGCGAAAGGCUCAUUAAAUCAGUUAUGGUUCCUUAGAUCGUACCCACACUUACUUGGAUAACUGUGGUAAUUCUAGAGCUAAUACAUGCAAACAGAGCUCCGAUCGGAGACGAAGGAGCGCUUUUAUUAGAUCAAAACCAAUCGGUGGCGGGUUCGCUCGUCAUCGUAUAACUUGGUGACUCUGAAUAACUUUAAGCUGAUCGCACGGUCUCGCACCGGCGACACAUCUUUCAAAUGUCUGCCUUAUCAACUGUCGAUGGUAGGUUCUGCGCCUACCAUGGUUGUAACGGGUAACGGGGAAUCAGGGUUCGAUUCCGGAGAGGGAGCCUGAGAAACGGCUACCACAUCCAAGGAAGGCAGCAGGCGCGCAAAUUACCCACUCCCGGCACGGGGAGGUAGUGACGAAAAAUAACGAUACGGGACUCAUCCGAGGCCCCGUAAUCGGAAUGAGUACACUCUAAACCCUUUAACGAGGAUCAAUUGGAGGGCAAGUCUGGUGCCAGCAGCCGCGGUAAUUCCAGCUCCAAUAGCGUAUAUUAAAGUUGUUGCGGUUAAAAAGCUCGUAGUCGAAUUUGUGUCCCGCGCCGCCGGUUCAUCGUCCGCGGUGUUAACUGGCGUGCCGCGGGACGUCCUGCCGGUGGGCUUAGCUCUCCGGGGCGGCCCAACUCAAUCCCGCCGCGGUGCUCUUCACUGAGUGUCGAGGUGGGCCGGCACGUUUACUUUGAACAAAUUAGAGUGCUUAAAGCAGGCUAAAACUUCGCCUGAAUACUGUGUGCAUGGAAUAAUGGAAUAGGACCUCGGUUCUAUUUUGUUGGUUUUCGGAACUCCGAGGUAAUGAUUAAUAGGAACGGAUGGGGGCAUUCGUAUUGCGACGUUAGAGGUGAAAUUCUUGGAUC
This 951-nucleotide ribosomal RNA is filed under the name Allochotes sp. G0147. RNAcentral describes it as "SSU rRNA". It matches the Rfam family "Eukaryotic small subunit ribosomal RNA", at positions 32 to 926 of the family's 1831-position model. Lineage: Eukaryota; Metazoa; Arthropoda; Insecta; Coleoptera; Cleridae. The record is from RNAcentral.